ACUUCAAUAUGUACGUUAUGCGUGAGCAAUCAUUUGUUCCAGCUGCAGUAUCAUUAAAGGGCCAGCAUUUCCCUGAACACUGGGAAUGUUAUUUGUGGAUUAUAUAGUUUUUCUUUACCCCCCUUUAUGCUCAGGUUCAACAGGUAAGACUCAUGAAUACAUGAAAAUCUCAGUCGAUCGCAGCGUGCUACACCAUAGGACUGGUUGAGUCUGGAUUACAUGCCCUGGCUGGAGAAAUAGCUUAGGACCUGUUUUUCUACUGAAUGCUGUUUAAUGACUGAGGCAUUACUAACACAGUGAGAUGCCAGUCUCUUGACACUAACAUACAGAUAGAUAUGAGAAUGUCAAGGAUGCUAAAGUGAUUGUAAGAAUUUGCAUUGACAAGAAAAGAUUGUGUUCAGGUCCUCACCUGCAUGAACCACCAGUGACAACAGCGUACCUCACACAAUGGACCAAGUGCUAUGCAGUUCACAUGAAUAGAAAUGUUGUUCAGCGUAUUAGCAUGGGAAGAAAGGCAGAAAGACUUGAAUAAAAUUAGUAUAUCUGUUUGUGUUUGAACCAGCUACAUAGUUCUAUACCUGUAUCUCAUGAUGAAAAAAAUAAA
This is a long non-coding RNA of Coturnix japonica (Japanese quail), 604 nucleotides long. RefSeq lists it as uncharacterized. The record is from RefSeq and is a predicted model, not a curated record. NCBI's taxonomy places the organism in Eukaryota, Metazoa, Chordata, Aves, Galliformes, Phasianidae.